UACGUAGGGGGCAAGCGUUGUCCGGAAUCAUUGGGCGUAAAGAGCGUGUAGGCGGCUUGUUAAGUCUUGCGUGAAAUCUCGGGGCUCAACCCCGAGCGGUCGUGAGAAACUGGCAGGCUAGAGUGCGGGAGAGGAGAGUGGAAUUCCUGGUGUAGCGGUGAAAUGCGCAGAUAUCAGGAAGAACACCCGUGGCGAAGGCGGCUCUCUGGGACGGUACUGACGCUGAGACGCGAAAGCGUGGGGAGCGAACAGG
RNAcentral lists this ribosomal RNA (253 nucleotides) under uncultured bacterium. Its description in RNAcentral is "partial 16S ribosomal RNA". It matches the Rfam family "Bacterial small subunit ribosomal RNA", at positions 524 to 776 of the family's 1533-position model. The record is from RNAcentral.